Molecule: ribosomal RNA, 424 nt
Filed under: uncultured prokaryote
Description: bacterial SSU rRNA
Rfam family: Bacterial small subunit ribosomal RNA
Source: RNAcentral
UGGGGAAUCUUGGACAAUGGGGGCAACCCUGAUCCAGCCAUGCCGCGUGAGUGAUGAAGGCCCUAGGGUCGUAAAGCUCUUUCGCCUGUGAAGAUAAUGACGGUAGCAGGUAAAGAAACCCCGGCUAACUCCGUGCCAGCAGCCGCGGUAAUACGGAGGGGGCAAGCGUUGUUCGGAUUUACUGGGCGUAAAGGGCGCGUAGGCGGACGGUCAAGUCAGAGGUGAAAGGCCCGGGCUCAACCUGGGACGUGCCUUUGAAACUGAUUGUCUUGAGUGCGGAAGAGGGUGACGGAAUUCCCAGUGUAGAGGUGAAAUUCGUAGAUAUUGGGAAGAACACCGGUGGCGAAGGCGGUCACCUGGUCCGCAACUGACGCUGAGGCGCGAAAGCGUGGGGAGCAAACAGGAUUAGAUACCCCGGUAGUCC